Molecule: ribosomal RNA, 291 nt
Filed under: uncultured bacterium
Lineage: Bacteria
Description: partial 16S ribosomal RNA
Rfam family: Bacterial small subunit ribosomal RNA
Source: RNAcentral
GGAUUAGAUACCCUGGUAGUCCACGCCGUAAACGAUGUCAACUAGCCGUUGGGAUAUUAUUUCUUAGUGGCGCAGCAAACGCGAUAAGUUGACCGCCUGGGGAGUACGGCCGCAAGGUUAAAACUCAAAUGAAUUGACGGGGGCCCGCACAAGCGGUGGAGCAUGUGGUUUAAUUCGAUGCAACGCGAAGAACCUUACCACCCCUUGACAUCCUCAGAACUUGUCAGAGACGACUUGGUGCCUUCGGGAACUGAGAGACAGGUGCUGCAUGGCUGUCGUCAGCUCGUGCUG